UGGGAACGUGCCUUUUGGUUCGGAACAACCCAGGGAAACUUGGGCUAAUACCGGAUAAGCCCUUACGGGGAAAGAUUUAUCGCCAAAAGAUCGGCCCGCGUCUGAUUAGCUAGUUGGUGAGGUAACGGCUCACCAAGGCAACGAUGCGUAGCCGACCUGAGAGGGUGAUCGGCCACAUUGGAACUGAGACACGGUCCAGACUCCUACGGGAGGCAG
RNAcentral lists this ribosomal RNA (216 nucleotides) under uncultured bacterium. Its description in RNAcentral is "partial 16S ribosomal RNA". It matches the Rfam family "Bacterial small subunit ribosomal RNA", at positions 118 to 351 of the family's 1533-position model. The record is from RNAcentral.